AUUGAACGCUGGCGGCAGGCCUAACACAUGCAAGUCGGACGGUAGCACAGAGAGCUUGCUCUCGGGUGACGAGUGGCGGACGGGUGAGUAAUGUCUGGGGAUCUGCCCGAUAGAGGGGGAUAACCACUGGAAACGGUGGCUAAUACCGCAUAACGUCGCAAGACCAAAGAGGGGGACCUUCGGGUCUCUCACUAUCGGAUGAACCCAGAUGGGAUUAGCUAGUAGGCGGGGUAAUGGCCCACCUAGGCGACGAUCCCUAGCUGGUCUGAGAGGAUGACCAGCCACACUGGAACUGAGACACGGUCCAGACUCCUACGGGAGGCAGCAGUAAGGAAUAUUGCUCAAUGGCCGAAAGGCUGAAGCAGCAACGCCGCGUGGAGGAUGAAAUACUUUUGUAUGUAAACUCCUGUAAGGGGGGAAAAAUAUCCGCUUUUAGCGGAUUGAUUGUACCCUCAGAGUAAGCACCGGCUAACUACGUGC
Molecule: ribosomal RNA, 480 nt
Filed under: uncultured bacterium
Lineage: Bacteria
Description: bacterial SSU rRNA
Rfam family: Bacterial small subunit ribosomal RNA
Source: RNAcentral